UAUUAUAAUAUAGGGUUAAUAAUAUAAAAGAUAAUAUAUUAAAUCAUAUUAUUUGAUUAGAUUAUAGCAAUAUUAUACUAUAAUAUAUCAUUAGAUUAGAUUCUAAUAUGUUAUAUUAUAUUAUAUAGCUAUAUUAUAUAUUAUAAUUCUAAUUAUAAUAAUACAAUAUUAGAGUAUAAUAAUAUUGUACUAUUAAUAAUACAUUACUAUAUCAUAUCAUAUCAUAUUAUGUUAUAUUAUUAUGCUAUAGUAUUCAAUAUUAUAUUAUGCUAUAUUAUAAUAAUAUUAUACAAUAAUAAUAAUAUUUUAAUAUAUAAUAA
This 320-nucleotide long non-coding RNA is filed under the name Phoenix dactylifera (date palm). RNAcentral describes it as "long non-coding RNA (PDAC_LNC003481)". The record is from RNAcentral. Lineage: Eukaryota; Viridiplantae; Streptophyta; Magnoliopsida; Arecales; Arecaceae.